This 216-nucleotide ribosomal RNA is filed under the name Glomeromycotina sp. RNAcentral describes it as "partial small subunit ribosomal RNA". The stretch from base 40 to 216 matches the Rfam family "Eukaryotic small subunit ribosomal RNA", at positions 686 to 864 of the family's 1831-position model. Lineage: Eukaryota; Fungi; Glomeromycota. The record is from RNAcentral.
GGGUCAGUAGGUUGGUCGUGCCACCGGUACGUACUGGUCUCACUGAUUCCUCCUUCCUGAAGAACCGUAGUGCCAUUAAUUUGGUGUUGCGGGGAAACAGGACUGUUACUUUGAAAAAAUUAGAGUGUUUAAAGCAAGCUAACGCUUGAAUACAUUAGCAUGGAAUAAUGAAAUAGGACGAUCGAUCCUAUUUUGUUGGUUUCUAGGAUUGACGCA